RNAcentral lists this small RNA (312 nucleotides) under Saimiri boliviensis boliviensis (Bolivian squirrel monkey). RNAcentral's name for it is "Metazoan signal recognition particle RNA (ENSSBOG00000005115.1)". It matches the Rfam family "Metazoan signal recognition particle RNA". From Rfam's summary of the family: The signal recognition particle (SRP) is a universally conserved ribonucleoprotein. It is involved in the co-translational targeting of proteins to membranes. The eukaryotic SRP consists of a 300-nucleotide 7S RNA and six proteins: SRPs 72, 68, 54, 19, 14, and 9. Lineage: Eukaryota; Metazoa; Chordata; Mammalia; Primates; Cebidae. The record is from RNAcentral.
GCCCAGGCACAGUGCUGUGUGCCUGUAGUCCAGCUGCUUGGGAGGCUGAGGUGAGAGGAUUCCUCGAGUCCAGGAGUUUGCUGAUGGGGAGAGGAUUCCUUGAGUCCAGGAGCUCUGGGCUGCAGUGUGCUGUGCACACGGGGUGUGCGCUAAGUACUGUAUCAAUAUGGGUGACCUGGAGCAGGGACCACCAGGUUCUCUAAGGAGGUCGGAAAUGGAGCCAGUCCAAACUCCCAUUCUGAUCAGCAGUGGGACAUGCCUAUAAAUCAACACUGCACUCCAGCCUGGGCACCAUAGCAAGAGCUCAGCUCU